Gymnodraco acuticeps is the source of this 767-nucleotide long non-coding RNA. RefSeq lists it as uncharacterized. The transcript is spliced from 4 exons. Lineage: Eukaryota; Metazoa; Chordata; Actinopteri; Perciformes; Bathydraconidae. The record is from RefSeq and is a predicted model, not a curated record.
AUUUCGCUACAACAUUCCAUUCUGAUUCCAUUCCAAUGAUUGAGACGCUUGCUGAAGAGUAACCAAAGAGGACGGCUGUCACAUAGUCACUCACUGACAUUUUGCGUGGCUACAGACUGCUCGACGUGGGAGAAGACCAUAUUUUCAGUACAGAGCAAAUCUAAAUGGCUCAAUAGGCUCCUUGAGGCUGGAGACAUCACACCUCAGGAGGUGCAGCUAUUCCAACAGGCAGCACACAGGCUGUGGAGUAUGGCAUCAAUAAACUCCCUCUGAAGGAGGCUCUUCUGAGGCAUACAAGAUUUGUGGAUGUGCAGCAGAGGACUGAGUGUGGGGUGGAAGAUGCCCUAUACUUUAUAGACAGAUUUCAGGAACUACUACCUUUCCAUGGGCUGGAGGAACAGGACAAGGUGUGUGAGCAGUUCCUGGAAUAUCAGCUGAUGGAUAUCCCCAUGCCCCAAGAUCCCACCACCUUUAAUGUUGAGGAGUUUUGGGGGAGUAUGUCCUCAAUCAAGUGCAAGGUGACCGGUUUGAGCCAGUUUGGGAGGCUCACUAAAAUAGCUCAACUUGUUCUAGUGCUCCCUCACUCUAAUGCCGACGCGGAGAGGGUUUUCUCGAUGGUUGGACUGAACAAGACAAAAACUAGGAACAGCUUGGCCCUAGAUGGAACACUGUCCUCCAUCAUGACAGUGAAGAUGGCAGGCCUGGAACCAAACUGUUUCAGAUGGGAGCCACCAACCCCAGUGCUGAAGGCCUCAAAAACUGCCUAU